This 449-nucleotide long non-coding RNA is filed under the name Nicotiana benthamiana. Its description in RNAcentral is "long non-coding RNA (NBEN_LNC019607)". Lineage: Eukaryota; Viridiplantae; Streptophyta; Magnoliopsida; Solanales; Solanaceae. The record is from RNAcentral.
UGAAUUUAAAUUUUGAAACUAUAGAAUGAAUUUAAAUAGAGUCAGUGAAGUUCACAAAUAGCGCCAUAUCCAUUUCCUUCUCAUGCCAUGCUUCAAGUUACAUGUUUAAGUGAAAUCCAUGAGGGUUGAAAUAUACCUGGGAAUGAAAAAGCAACGGAAAAGAUGAUGUAUUAGCAGUGAGCAACAGUAGAAUUUAACCAAGAUUCAGUUUUUAAAUAGAAAAAUGAGAUUCAGCAGUCCAAAACCAGCUUCAAUCGAACAAUAAUCAAAACCAAAUUUCUUAACCAAACUUCUUAAAACCCAAGUUUAAUCCAUUUAUACCCCACAUGAAUCAGAUGGUGUUUCAACAACAUAAAAAAAACUUCAGAAAUCUGAGAAAACCACUUAAUAAAACAGUGAUUUCUGCAAAAACUUUUAUAAGCAGCCUUUUUUAGGAUUUUCAGCUCUAG